UGCUUCAUAGCUCAGUUGGUAGAGCCCGCGACUGUUAAUCGCGUUGUCCUUGGUUCGAGUCCAAGUGAAGCAGCUC
This 76-nucleotide transfer RNA is filed under the name Fibrobacter succinogenes subsp. succinogenes S85. Its description in RNAcentral is "tRNA-Asn". It matches the Rfam family "tRNA". Rfam says of the family: Transfer RNA (tRNA) molecules are approximately 80 nucleotides in length. Their secondary structure includes four short double-helical elements and three loops (D, anti-codon, and T loops). Further hydrogen bonds mediate the characteristic L-shaped molecular structure. tRNAs have two regions of fundamental functional importance: the anti-codon, which is responsible for specific mRNA codon recognition, and the 3' end, to which the tRNAs corresponding amino acid is attached (by aminoacyl-tRNA synthetases). tRNAs cope with the degeneracy of the genetic code in two manners: having more than one tRNA (with a specific anti-codon) for a particular amino acid; and 'wobble' base-pairing, i.e. permitting non-standard base-pairing at the 3rd anti-codon position. Lineage: Bacteria; Pseudomonadati; Fibrobacterota; Fibrobacteria; Fibrobacterales; Fibrobacteraceae. The record is from RNAcentral.